UCGAGAAUCUUCGGCAAUGAGCGCAAGCUCGACCGAGCGACGCCGCGUGCGGGAUGAAGGCCCUCGGGUUGUAAACCGCUGUCAGUAGGGAGGAAAUGCAUGAGGGUUCUCUCUCAUGUUUGACCGAUCUGCAGAGGAAGUACGGGCUAAGUUCGUGCCAGCAGCCGCGGUAAGACGAACCGUACGAACGUUAUUCGGAAUCACUGGGCUUAAAGAGUGCGUAGGCGGCUUUGUAGGUGGGGUGUGAAAUCCCUCGGCUCAACCGAGGAACUGCGCUCCAAACCACAAGGCUUGAGGGAGAUAGAGGUGAGCGGAACUGAUGGUGGAGCGGUGAAAUGCGUUGAUAUCAUCAGGAACACCGGUGGCGAAAGCGGCUCACUGGGUCUCUUCUGACGCUGAGGCACGAAAGCUAGGGUAGCGAACGGGAUUAGAUACCCCCGUAGUCC
Molecule: ribosomal RNA, 446 nt
Filed under: uncultured prokaryote
Description: bacterial SSU rRNA
Rfam family: Bacterial small subunit ribosomal RNA
Source: RNAcentral